CCUACGGGAGGCAGCAGUGCGGAAUUUUAGAUAAUGGAGGGAACCCUGAUCUAGCGACGCCGCGUGCAGGAAGAAGGUCUUCGGAUUGUAAACUGCUGUGGUAAGGGAAAAAUGCUAUGUAGAGUGGAAAGCUACAUAGAGGGAUGGUACCUUACUAGAAAGCCCCGGCUAACUACGUGCCAGCAGCCGCGGUAAUA
This 197-nucleotide ribosomal RNA is filed under the name uncultured bacterium. RNAcentral's name for it is "partial 16S ribosomal RNA". It matches the Rfam family "Bacterial small subunit ribosomal RNA", at positions 338 to 525 of the family's 1533-position model. The record is from RNAcentral.